GCCGGGCGUUGUGGUGGGCGCCUGUGGUCCCAGCUACUUGGGAGGCGGAGGCAAGAGACUCGCUUGAGCCCAGGAGUUGGAGGUUGCUGUGAGCUGUAAUGCCAUGGCACUCUACCCAGGGGGACAGCUUGAGGCUCUGUCUCAAAAAAAAAAAAAAAAAAAAAAAAGACAGAGUUUCAGUCUGUCACCUGGGUAGACUGCCAUGGCAUCAUAGCUCACAGUAACCUCAAAUUCUUGGGCUCAAGCCAUCCUCUUGCC
This 258-nucleotide small RNA is filed under the name Otolemur garnettii (small-eared galago). RNAcentral describes it as "Metazoan signal recognition particle RNA (ENSOGAG00000026689.1)". Lineage: Eukaryota; Metazoa; Chordata; Mammalia; Primates; Galagidae. The record is from RNAcentral.